This is a long non-coding RNA of Camelus dromedarius (Arabian camel), 2804 nucleotides long. RefSeq lists it as uncharacterized. NCBI's taxonomy places the organism in Eukaryota, Metazoa, Chordata, Mammalia, Artiodactyla, Camelidae. The transcript is spliced from 2 exons. The record is from RefSeq and is a predicted model, not a curated record.
ACCCACUGUUUCCGCCCGGAUCUUGUUCGCAAGGCAACAAUCCAUAUGGAAAGUGGCGGCCAUUUUUAGUAUGGGCAUAAGAAUGGAAACGUAAGUAUGAUUUUACGCUAUAUCGUUUAUACGAGAGUUGAGUCAUCACGAGGGGAUUGGGAACACAAUUUUCAAAGGACAAACGGAAGCGGAUACUUUCCUAAGGUCAUACUAAAGAUGUAUAGCCCAAAGCGGAAAAACUCCCUGCCCGGUUCCAAGAUGAAUGCUUCCUUGUACCACGUGUCUGACGCCGCUUACUCUCGGUUCCACGUCAGGUUUAGCUCCGUCAGCCUCCAUUAGUCACGUUUAAAGGGGCAGUACCCCGAGUUUACUCUGGGACGCCUCUGGAGCUGGGAAGAUGGCUACUGGAUGCAAUGGGGAGGACAGGAGGGGUGAGGAUGUGGAGAAGCGCCUGCUCUUUGUAGAAAACCCGUUGCCAACAUAGUCGGAAACCAAGGUAAAAACACAACUCAGUUCCCGGAAACGCAGCUACAAUUUGGAAGAUAAUGUAUAUUUUAAAAGAGACCCAUCCCACUCCAUGUUUUCCCGUGUCCUUGAUCCAGGUACUUUUCAAUCAUCAUCCCACCCAUCUUCCGCCCCCGCAGUAGCAGUUAGUUGCCGGGCAACUCAGCGGGGGCACUUCACAACGGAUGGGGCUGGGAGUGCCUUCAGGUAUUGAAUUUAACCCUGUACUUGACUCUCCUUGGUCCUGGAUCAUUGCACUGUGCCAAGUAGCCAGACCGAGGGGAUUAGGCUGAGGCAUUGGGAAGAGCUAAGGAAGUUGGAGAACCAGACUCGCAAGUGGCUUCCUGUAAGCCUGAGGAAUUCCCAUUCAGGUUUCUUCCUCCAGAUUACAGAUGCCUUUUGUUUGUGCUCCUGUUUCUUGCAAAUAACAGUUCACCAGCAUCUUCAUUCUCUUUCAAGCACCUACAGGCUCUUAGGUGGCAAGUGAUUUCCAUUCCUCAGAGCGGAAAUCAUCACCAGGUAGUUGGAGAGGACUCAAGUAUGCUGACACUUUGUCUAUUCUCUUGUUUUGGGAAGGGGGAGGGGGAUUAGGUUGGUUGGUUGGUUUGUUUAUAAUGGAAGUACUGGAGAUUGUUUUGAGAAGUGGGAGGUAAUUGAGUUUGUUUGUUUGUUUGUUUGUUUGUUUAUUUAUUUAUAAUGGAAGUACUGGGGAUUGAACCCAGGACCUUGUACAUGAUAAACAUGCACUCUACCACUGAGCUAUACCCUCCCCCAGUCUACUCUUUUGAGUAUGCGCCAGGAGUCAGGGUUGGGUUGACUCUUUUUAGGCCAAAGAUAGCCCCUCCUGUCUCAAAACCAGCUGUGAAUGUCCUUUCUACUCAAAGGCCGCUCUAAUUAACAACACAAAACCAUAUAUGUAUAAAAUAUUUUAUAUAUAUAUAAAGUAAUCCCAAUAAUUACCUGAUAAUAGUAUUCCACCAAAUUUCCAGUACUUAUCCCACUAGUAUUGUUUUUCUGUGAAUUUGUGGAUGUGCAUGAGUGCGCAAAUGUGCCUCUUUGACUGGAAAUUCCCUAAAGGCAAGUGUUUUCUGUUGCACAGGGUGUCCCCAUGGUGCUAAGGACACACAGAUAUCUGUAUACAAGGCAUCAUCACACAUAAUGAGUCUGGAUCUGAAAGAGGUACAGAGGGCAAUAGGAGAGCAUGGAGGGAGCAAUUAGUUGUGACCAGGGGAAGAGAAGUCCUUGAGGAAGAGUAGUAUCUCCAAAGAUUUCAGUAGGUGGCAAGGAUGGAAGGGCCUUCUGAACAGGGAAAGUAAGACUCCAGGAGCAGGUGUAAAGAAGGAGCUUGUGGGAGCCCCAGCAGAGGCACAUUCAGUUAUCUUAUGGAUCAGGAGCGGGCUGAAAACUCCCUGGAGGUCUGAGGAACAGUCUGUAUCUAUUUCCUGUUUUAUUAGGAAGCCAAUCCUAAUAAAUCUUCCUUCUCUGCCUGGCAUUGAGAACCUUUGUCUCUUUCUUCUCCAGAGUUCAUUAACCCUCCCCAACAAUCCCUGGUGGAUGAGGGUGGGGGACUUGAUCAAAAACAAGACACUGGGGAUUCAUCGUCCACACAUACGUUACUAUCAACAUGGUUACUUGGAUACUUGUUGUGUAAUCUGAAUAUUUUUGUUCCCAUUGUAGUAAAUGCACAGUUGAUUCCCAGACUCACCAGGAGAAACAAACAAACACAUGACCUGGCCACACUUGAAAUUUUGUGCCUGUCCUAGUAUAAGUUCAAAGCAUUUGCCUGAAGGCUGGAGCUGGUCCUAGGGCUUACAGAUCAGGAGUCUUCAUCAUAUUAAAGCACCUUGAUUGAAUACUUGGGAAGAGAGAUGCAUAAGACAGGGUCCCCACUUUCAAGCAGUUUUCUGGUGAGUGGGAAAACAGACAUACAAACAACCAGCUAGACUACAAGGGAGAAUGAAAUAAGUGCUAGAGGUCUAAGUAACAAGCCGAUGGAAGACUGGGAGGACUAACUAAGGAAACUCACAUAAGACUGAAAUUGUGAAGCAGUAUCUGGCAGCAAAGGACCAAGUGCUCAGUGGAGGAGUUGAAAUAAACCCAAGAACUCGGAGAACUGAGAUGAAUACCGAAGAAGGGUUCUUGGGGGAAGAGGGUCUUCAUUGUGAAAUCGCCUGGACAACUUCCCACAUAACCUGCUCCCGAGCCCUAGCUGGUCUGCCCACUGACAGCUUCCUUCUGCAUCCCUGAGUUCUCUCCUCCCUUCAUUUCAUGCCCUCUCCCCUCAAGAUUAAAAAUCCACACUCUUGGAA